GCCAGGCAUAGUGGUGCAUGCCUGUAAUCCCAGCUGCUUGGGAGGCUGAGGCAGGAGGAUUGUGAGUUCAAAGAGAGCCUCAGCAAAAAAGUGAGGCACUAAGCAAUUCAGUCAGACUCCGUCUCUA
Molecule: small RNA, 127 nt
Filed under: Marmota monax (woodchuck)
Lineage: Eukaryota; Metazoa; Chordata; Mammalia; Rodentia; Sciuridae
Source: RNAcentral